GACGAACGCUGGCGGCGUGCUUAACACAUGCAAGUCGAGCGGUAAGGCCUUUCGGGGUACACGAGCGGCGAACGGGUGAGUAACACGUGGGUGAUCUGCCCUGCACUUCGGGAUAAGCCUGGGAAACUGGGUCUAAUACCGGAUAUGACCUCCUAUCGCAUGGUGGGUGGUGGAAAGAUUUAUCGGUGCAGGAUGGGCCCGCGGCCUAUUAGCUUGUUGGUGGGGUAAUGGCCUACCAAGGCGACGACGGGUAGCCGACCUGAGAGGGUGACCGGCCACACUGGGACUGAGACACGGCCCAGACUCCUACGGGAGGCAGCAGUGGGGAAUAUUGCACAAUGGGCGAAAGCCUGAUGCAGCGACGCCGCGUGAGGGAUGACGGCCUUCGGGUUGUAAACCUCUUUCAGCAGGGACGAAGCGCAAGUGACGGUACCUGCAGAAGAAGCACCGGCUAACUACGUG
RNAcentral lists this ribosomal RNA (462 nucleotides) under uncultured bacterium. Its description in RNAcentral is "partial 16S ribosomal RNA". It matches the Rfam family "Bacterial small subunit ribosomal RNA", at positions 28 to 507 of the family's 1533-position model. The record is from RNAcentral.